This 1395-nucleotide ribosomal RNA is filed under the name metagenome. Its description in RNAcentral is "SSU rRNA". It matches the Rfam family "Eukaryotic small subunit ribosomal RNA", at positions 379 to 1801 of the family's 1831-position model. The record is from RNAcentral.
GACUCCGGAGAGGGAGCCUGAGAAACGGCUACCACAUCCAAGGAAGGCAGCAGGCGCGCAAAUUACCCACUCUCGGCACGAGGAGGUAGUGACGAAAAAUAACGAGACGGAUCUCUUUGAGGCCCGUUAUCGGAAUGAGAACAAUUCAAAUCCUUUAACGAGGAUCUAGCGGAGGGCAAGUCUGGUGCCAGCAGCCGCGGUAAUUCCAGCUCCGCAGGUGUAUAUCUAUGCUGCUGCGGUUAAAAAGCUCGUAGUGAUCUGCGUGCUCGGAACUGGUUGGCUCACUGAGUUCAAACUGGUCUCCGGCGCUUUAUUGGCUGGUUUUCCCUUGAUGCUCUUAACCGGGUGUCUUGGGUGGCUAGCACGUUUACUUUGAAAAAAUUAGAGUGCUCAAUACAGGCGUAAAGCCUUGAAUAGUGGUGCAUGGAAUAAUAGAAUAGGACCUCGGCUCUAUUUUGUUGGUUUUCGGAACGCGAGGUAAUGAUUAAGAGGGACAGACGGGGGCAUUCGUAUUGCGACGUUAGGGGUGAAAUUCUUGGAUCGUCGCAAGACGGACGACUGCGAAAGCAUUUGCCAAGAAUGUUUUCAUUAAUCAAGAACGAAAGUUAGAGGUUCGAAGGCGAUCAGAUACCGCCCUAGUUCUAACCGUAAACGAUGCCAACUAGCGAUUCGCAGGCGUUAAACAACGACCUUGCGGGCAGCUUCCCGGAAACGAAAGUGUUCGGGUUCCGGGGGAAGUAUGGUUGCAAAGCUGAAACUUAAAGGAAUUGACAGAAGGGCACCACCAGGAGUGGAGCCUGCGGCUUAAUUUGACGCAACACGGGAAAACUCACCCGGCCCGGACACCGUAAGGAUUGACAGAUUGAGAGCUCUUUCUUGAUUCGGUGGGUGGUGGUGCAUGGCCGUUCUUAGUUGGUGGAGCGAUUUGUCUGGUUUAUUCCGAUAACGAACGAGACUCUGGCCUACUAAAUAGUGGGCGGAUUCUUUCUGUCCGCAACACUUCUUAGAGAGACAAGCGGUGUUCAGCCGCACGAGAUUGAGCAAUAACAGGUCUGUGAUGCCCUUAGAUGUCCGGGGCUGCACGCGCGCUACACUGAAGGAAUCAGCGUGCUUUCUGACCUUGCCCGAAAGGGCUGGGUAACCCGAUGAAAAUCCUUCGUGAUUGGGAUAGGGACUUGCAAUUAUUUCCCUUGAACGAGGAAUUCCCAGUAAGUGUGGGUCAUAAGCUCGCGUUGAUUACGUCCCUGCCCUUUGUACACACCGCCCGUCGCUGCCCGGAACUGAGCCGUUUCGAGAAGAACAGGGACCGUCGUUGAAGGGCCUUAACGGGCUUUUCUCUGAUAGAAACUGUUUUAAUCGCAGUGGCUUGAACCGGGCAAAAGUCGUAACAAGGUU